AAAAGUGAAAAGGUUCAAAGAACUGGAGAAAAUGAUAGGACAUUGGAUGAUGAAAUAAAUGAGUUUAAGGGAUAGGUGCAGGACACUUGUCAAGGACUCUAGAUCUUCCUAUCCAAGGGGCAUGUAAACAAAUUAGGACCUCUUGUAUUGUGCGUACUACUCGAGAGAACAUUAGAGUUUUAUAUAAUUAACUGAGCAAACAAGCUACAAGUUUUGGAGUCAAUCGUUGUUAGUUCAUGACAUCAGAGCCAUCAUUCAGUCACAUUGCCCCCAAUGAAUAUGGUUUUUAGUUUAAAUUUAGAUGUAACCAUGCUUAGUGAAUGGUUUUUAUUUAUGUUUUGAUGAUAUGUUUCGGUUUCAAUGUUACAGUGAUUGACAUUACAUAUUUUAAUUAAUAUAUUGUCUUUUUGUAUCUUUA
Molecule: long non-coding RNA, 418 nt
Organism: Olea europaea var. sylvestris
Lineage: Eukaryota; Viridiplantae; Streptophyta; Magnoliopsida; Lamiales; Oleaceae
Exons: 2
Source: RefSeq, a predicted model, not a curated record